CUCUGUGACUCCUACGGGAGGCAGCAGUGGGGAAUAUUGCACAAUGGGGGAAACCCUGAUGCAGCCAUGCCGCGUGUGUGAAGAAGGCCUUCGGGUUGUAAAGCACUUUCAGUAGGGAGGAAGGUAGUGUAGUUAACACCUGCACUAUUUGACGUUACCUACAGAAGAAGCACCGGCUAACUCCGUGCCAGCAGCCGCGGUAAUACGGAGGGUGCGAGCGUUAAUCGGAAUUACUGGGCGUAAAGCGCAUGCAGGCGGCCUGUUAAGUCAGAUGUGAAAGCCCCGGGGCUUAACCUCGGAAUUGCAUUUGAAACUGGCAGGCUAGAGUCUUGUAGAGGGGGUAGAAUUUCAGGUGUAGCGGUGAAAUGCGUAGAGAUCUGAAGGAAUACCAGUGGCGAAGGCGGCCCCCUGGACAAAGACUGACGCUCAGAUGCGAAAGCGUGGGGAGCAAACAGGAUUAGAUACCCUGGAG
This 472-nucleotide ribosomal RNA is filed under the name uncultured bacterium. Its description in RNAcentral is "bacterial SSU rRNA". It matches the Rfam family "Bacterial small subunit ribosomal RNA", at positions 328 to 792 of the family's 1533-position model. The record is from RNAcentral.